GACGAACGCUGGCGGCGUGCUUAACACAUGCAAGCCGAACGGAAAGGCCCUUCGGGGUACUCGAGUGGCGAACGGGUGAGUAACACGUGGGUGAUCUGCCCUGCACUUUGGGAUAAGCCUGGGAAACUGGGUCUAACACCGAAUAGGACCGCAUGCUUCAUGGUGUGUGGUGGAAAGCUUUUGCGGUGUGGGAUGGGCCCGCGGCCUAUCAGCUUGUUGGUGGGGUAAUGGCCUACCAAGGCGACGACGGGUAGCCGGCCUGAGAGGGUGACCGGCCACACUGGGACUGAGAUACGGCCCAGACUCCUACGGGAGGCAGCAGUGGGGAAUAUUGCACAAUGGGCGCAAGCCUGAUGCAGCGACGCCGCGUGAGGGAUGACGGCCUUCGGGUUGUAAACCUCUUUCAGCAGGGACGAAGCGCAAGUGACGGUACCUGCAGAAGAAGGACCGGCCAACUACGUGCCAGCAGCCGCCGUAA
RNAcentral lists this ribosomal RNA (478 nucleotides) under uncultured bacterium. RNAcentral describes it as "partial 16S ribosomal RNA". It matches the Rfam family "Bacterial small subunit ribosomal RNA", at positions 28 to 523 of the family's 1533-position model. The record is from RNAcentral.